CCUACGGGAGGCAGCAGUGAGGAAUAUUGGUCAAUGGUCGGGAGACUGAACCAGCCAAGCCGCGUGAGGGAUGAAGGUACAGAGUAUCGUAAACCUCUUUUGUCAGGGAACAAAGGCGGGGACGUGUCCCCGGAUGAGUGUACCUGAAGAAAAAGCAUCGGCUAACUCCGUGCCAGCAGCCGCGGUAAUACGGAGGAUGCGAGCGUUAUCCGGUUUUAUUGGGUUAAAAGGGUGCGCAGGCGGUCUGUUAAGUCAGCGGUCAAAGCCCGGGGCACAACCCCGGCCCGCCGUUGAAACUGGCAGUCGCGAGUUGGAGAGAAGUAUGCGGAAUGCGCGGUGUAGCGGUGAAAUGCAUAGAUAUCGCGCAGAACUCCGAUUGCGAAGGCAGCAUGCCGGCUCCACACUGACGCUGAGGCACGAAAGCGUGGGUAUCGAACAGGAUUAGAUACCCGGGUAGUC
This 459-nucleotide ribosomal RNA is filed under the name uncultured bacterium. Its description in RNAcentral is "partial 16S ribosomal RNA". It matches the Rfam family "Bacterial small subunit ribosomal RNA", at positions 338 to 795 of the family's 1533-position model. The record is from RNAcentral.